GGUUUUACCGUGAGCUUUUAAUAGAAAAAAAAAAUUAUUUUGUGGAGUUUAAAGUUUGGGGUAAAAUGGUCAUGGUUAUAGGCAUGGUCAGAAAUUAAAAUGGCGUGUUUCGUCAACUUGAGAGGUGAGGAGUGAAGAGAGUGAAAAUACUGGGAUUUAAAAAGAAGAAAAAGAGGAAGAGAGUUUUAGUUUAAUAAAAUUGAGAGAAACGAGGAAGCAAGUCUGGUAUCGAUUUUUAAAAGUUUUAUAAUACAUUUGAGUAGUGAGGACUUAGCCAAGUUUUUCUGCAUACGCGGUCUUUGUGUUUUGGAAAAUACUUUUUUUUAGUUUAAAAAAGUCGGCGGGAUUACAAGGAUGUAAUCAUAGCCUCCCGUAACUCCGAAAGUAACCACUGCAAACGCUUCAGUCAAUUUGAUUUCCCCUACCAUGGCUUCACUCAGAGCGAAUAUACCGUCCUAGUGUACAGC
This is a long non-coding RNA of Microplitis demolitor, 467 nucleotides long. RefSeq lists it as uncharacterized. The transcript has 3 exons. The record is from RefSeq and is a predicted model, not a curated record. NCBI's taxonomy places the organism in Eukaryota, Metazoa, Arthropoda, Insecta, Hymenoptera, Braconidae.